Molecule: ribosomal RNA, 495 nt
Filed under: uncultured bacterium
Lineage: Bacteria
Description: partial 16S ribosomal RNA
Rfam family: Bacterial small subunit ribosomal RNA
Source: RNAcentral
GACGAACGCUGGCGGCGUGCCUAAUACAUGCAAGUAGAACGCUGAAGGAGGAGCUUGCUUCUCCGGAUGAGUUGCGAACGGGUGAGUAACGCGUAGGUAACCUGCCUGGUAGCGGGGGAUAACUAUUGGAAACGAUAGCUAAUACCGCAUAAGAGUAGAUGUCGCAUGACAUUUGCUUAAAAGGUGCAACUGCACCACUACCAGAUGGACCUGCGUUGUAUUAGCUAGUUGGUGAGGUAACGGCUCACCAAGGCAACGAUACAUAGCCGACCUGAGAGGGUGAUCGGCCACACUGGGACUGAGACACGGCCCAGACUCCUACGGGAGGCAGCAGUAGGGAAUCUUCGGCAAUGGACGGAAGUCUGACCGAGCAACGCCGCGUGAGUGAAGAAGGUUUUCGGAUCGUAAAGCUCUGUUGUAAGAGAAGAACGAGUGUGAGAGUGGAAAGUUCACACUGUGACGGUAGCUUACCAGAAAGGGACGGCUAACUACGUG